CCUACGGGUGGCUGCAGUGGGGAAUAUUGGACAAUGGGCGAAAGCCUGAUCCAGCCAUGCCGCGUGUGUGAAGAAGGCCUUCGGGUUGUAAAUCACUUUCAGUGGGGAAGAAAGCCUUGGGGCUAAUACCCUCGAGGAAGGACAUCACCCACAGAAGAAGCACCGGCUAACUCCGUGCCAGCAGCCGCGGUAAUACGGAGGGUGCGAGCGUUAAUCGGAAUUACUGGGCGUAAAGCGCGCGUAGGCGGUCUGAUAAGCCGGUUGUGAAAGCCCCGGGCUCAACCUGGGAACGGCAUCCGGAACUGUCAGGCUAGAGUGCAGGAGAGGAAGGUAGAAUUCCCGGUGUAGCGGUGAAAUGCGUAGAGAUCGGGAGGAAUACCAGUGGCGAAGGCGGCCUUCUGGACUGACACUGACGCUGAGGUGCGAAAGCGUGGGUAGCAAACAGGAUUAGAUACCCUUGUAGUC
Molecule: ribosomal RNA, 465 nt
Filed under: Vreelandella stevensii
Lineage: Bacteria; Pseudomonadati; Pseudomonadota; Gammaproteobacteria; Oceanospirillales; Halomonadaceae
Description: partial 16S ribosomal RNA
Rfam family: Bacterial small subunit ribosomal RNA
Source: RNAcentral